Molecule: ribosomal RNA, 422 nt
Filed under: uncultured archaeon
Lineage: Archaea
Description: partial 16S ribosomal RNA
Rfam family: Archaeal small subunit ribosomal RNA
Source: RNAcentral
CUACGGGGUGCAGCAGUCGGGGAAAUUUUACAAUGCUCGCAAGAGUGAUAAAAUGAGCCAGAGUGUUUCUCCUAGAGAAACUUUUAUUUGCUGUAAAAAGGCAGAUGAAUAAGGACUGGGCAAGACCGGUGCCAGCCGCCGCGGUAAUCCCGGCGGUCCAAGUCGCAUCCACAUUUAUUGAGUCUAAAACAUUCGUAGCUUGUUUUGUAAGUCUCUUGUGAAAUCUUAUAUCUUAAGUAUAAGGCGUGCAAGAGAUACUGCAUCACUAGAGACCGGAAGACGCAAAAAGUAUGAUUGAGGUAGCGGUAAAAUGCGUUGAUCUCAAUUAGACUAACAAUGUGGCGAAGGCAUUUUGCGAGUACGGAUCUGACAGUGAGGAAUGAAGGCUAGGGUCGCGAAAGGGAUUAGAUACCCCCGUAGUC